Molecule: ribosomal RNA, 685 nt
Filed under: Chaetothyriales sp. A1004
Lineage: Eukaryota; Fungi; Ascomycota; Eurotiomycetes; Chaetothyriales
Description: SSU rRNA
Rfam family: Eukaryotic small subunit ribosomal RNA
Source: RNAcentral
GCCAUGCAUGUCUAAGUAUAAGCAACUAUACUGUGAAACUGCGAAUGGCUCAUUAAAUCAGUUAUCGUUUAUUUGAUAGUACCUUUACCUGGAUAACCGUGGUAAUUCUAGAGCUAAUACAUGCUAAAAACCUCGACUUCGGAAGGGGUGUAUUUAUUAGAUAAAAAACCAAUGCCCUUCGGGGCUCCUUGGUGAAUCAUAAUAACUUAACGAAUCGCAUGGCCUUGCGCCGGCGAUGGUUCAUUCAAAUUUCUGCCCUAUCAACUUUCGAUGGUAAGAUAGAGGCUUACCAUGGUCUUAACGGGUAACGGGGAAUUAGGGUUCUAUUCCGGAGAGGGAGCCUGAGAAACGGCUACCACAUCCAAGGAAGGCAGCAGGCGCGCAAAUUACCCAAUCCCGACACGGGGAGGUAGUGACAAUAAAUACUGAUACGGGGCUCUUUUGGGUCUCGUAAUUGGAAUGAGUACAAUCUAAAUCCCUUAACGAGGAACAAUUGGAGGGCAAGUCUGGUGCCAGCAGCCGCGGUAAUUCCAGCUCCAAUAGCGUAUAUUAAAGUUGUUGCCGUUAAAAAGCUCGUAGUUGAACCUUGGGCCUGGCUGACCUGUCCUCCUAAUCGAGCGCACGGGUUCGGUCGGGCCUUUCCUUCUAGGGAACCCCAUGCCCUUCACUGGGUGUGGUGGGGAAC